CCUACGGGAGACUGCAGUGGGGAAUAUUGCACAAUGGGGGAAACCCUGAUGCAGCGACGCCGCGUGAGUGAAGAAGUCUCUCGGUAUGUAAAGCUCUAUCAGCAGGGAAGAAAAUGACGGUACCUGUCUCAUCAGCCCCGGCUAACUACGUCCCAGCAGCCGCGGUAAUACGUAGGGGGCAAGCGUUAACCGGUUUUACUGGGUGUAAAGGGAGCGUAGACGGCGCUGCAAGUCCGGAGUGAAAGUCCAUGGCUUAACCAUGGUACUGCACUGGAAACUGUGGGGCUUGAGUGCGGGAGGGGGAGGCAGAAUUCCAGGUGUAGCGGUGAAAUGCGUAGAGAUUAGGAGGAACACCGGCGGCGAAGGCGGCCUGCUGGACCGUAACUGACGUUGAGGCUCGAAAGCGUGGGGAGCAAACAGGAUUAGAUACCCGUGUAGUC
Molecule: ribosomal RNA, 440 nt
Filed under: uncultured bacterium
Lineage: Bacteria
Description: partial 16S ribosomal RNA
Rfam family: Bacterial small subunit ribosomal RNA
Source: RNAcentral